ACACCGCUAGCUACUGACGACAAGAAGAAGAAGGAGAGGAAGAAGAAAAAGAAUGAUACAUCGACAGUCUGGUGCAUGAAGGAUUAUGAUAGUAAAGAGUGGGUCUUGAAGCAUAGUGUCAGCAAGGAUGAGCUGCGGAGCAUAACUGGUGUGGACUAUAAAGUGGCUGCUUUUCAUCCAGACCGUGAAACCAUUUUUUUGGAUUCAUAUGAUGUUGAUACAUUGGUGUCAUAUGAUAUGCAGCAUCGGAAAUUCCAUCAAAUCCGUAGUCUUCGGGAAAACAGGGCAACACUAUUUGUACCCUAUGUUCCAUUGUUCUCAGACUCAUUUGCAGGUGCAGAUGGACAGUAGUGUUACCUAUAAGUCAAGCUUGUGCUUCUUCUAAGAAUUUGCUCUUCUGUAGGCGCUGAACUAUUUUUGUCUGUUGAUCUCUGAAUUUGCUUAAGUUAUGUCAUUUAACUUGUGUGCUCCUGCUAGCUUGAUUUUCUGUUUGGAAAAACAUGGUUACUAUUCUUGUCGCUGAAUUAUUCAAUUUACUGGUGCUUGUGUCCUAUUGUCUGGAUACGAAUUAGUUUCAUGUCGCAAAGUUAUUCUGAAAUCUGGUUCUCGUGUUCAAGACACUAAGGAUCUUGUGUCCUAAAUCCUAAGAUUACUACUCGCUCCGUUUCUAAAUAUAAGUCUUUUUAGAGAUUCCAAUAAGGGACUACAUACGGAGCAAAAUGCACUCUAAAAUAUGUCUAUAUACAUCCAUAUGUAGUUUGUAUUAAAAUCUCUAAAAAGACUUAUAUUUAGAAACGGAGGGAGUACAUUAUUAGUGAGGGUUGUUGGUAAACUUUUUACUGUACUGAGAGUCUCUAUCAGAUUGUUGCAAUGUCUAUUUGAUUCUAGCCCUCAGGAUUUCGGUGAUGCAUUCCCAGUGAGCAAAGUUCUUUUUAUCUACUACUUGUCCUGUAGCUAAUGAAUUCAUAAUGCUGUGGCUUAACUUCUGCUACUCCCUCCAAUCCAAAUUAAUUGUCGCAGCUCUAGUACAACUUGUACUAAAGUUGUACUCCCUUAGUGAUCUAAAUGAUCUUAUAUUAGUUUACAGCGGGAGUACUAAUUUGGAUCGGAGGGAGUACCUAAUUUGUUAACCCAACUGAAUACUUGCAUCAAUGAUGAAAGAAAACGUGCAGAUGUGCAGUAGUGUUUCACACCUUUCGUAAUGAAAUCUUUUCUUGCUGGGUGAGAAAAACAAGAAAUGCUUAUUUCUUCCCUGUGUUCCUCUUUUCUGGGAGUCUCCUAAAUGAUGACAUUCAAUCUGCUUGUGCUUACACUGCCGCUAGAUUGAUUGUUUGUUCGGAGCAAUGCCUGGCAUACCUACAGAUUAAUCAUAUCGAUGUGUGCAGCUUAGUUUACUGAAAGUCUCAAUAAGAAUGUUUCAACGUGAGUAUAUUUGAUCUUAGUCCUAAGUGGUAUUGCACUGCAUCGAACAAGUUCCUCUUAUCUAAGCUAAUGAAUUCUGGCGAACCCAGUCUGAAUUUCUAUCACUACACCAUAUAAUUACACCAUGGUUUAUUCAGUUUCUGACCUGAGUAAAUCUAUUGAACUAUGUCCCACAAUUUCCCCAUGUUUCCUGUCAUUUUCUAGACAUCUGUGAUGUUUCUUUGGAAACUACAUUCCCGUUACAGUAUUACCCAAUCCUCGUAGAAUUAUUUUUUGCUCCUACAUGUUUUCCAUAUCACACGAACUCACAAACACACCGAAAAAGAAAAAAUUAUUUCCUACAACUUAGUAGUGAAUUGGUUCAUAUACAUAGUCCGUCAGUUAUCGAAACCAUUUCCUUUACUCCUGUUUUCCAGCAGCUUGAACUGAAAUAGGGACAUUGCAGUGUACAUUCAUCGAUCGUGUCACCAUAAUCACAGCAAAGCAAUGUGAUCUGAGAAACUUUACCACGCUGAUGGUCCGUGAAACCUCUGCGGUUAAUUUGUUGCUCUAUUCGUUCAGAUGUGUUCUCUGAAGGUUGUUUGUUCCAGUAUACUCCAACAUGUACACACGGCUCCCUCCACGGCCGGACAACUGACACGAUGCCAACCAUUAGGCACGGCGACGGUAAGACGACGCUGUACCGGCCGGCGGACGGUGCACGUCGAUGGAACAUGUGCUUCACCAUCGUCUACUCAUUUGUGAGCAAGGUCAUUGCCUUGGUCGACCAACUUUGGGGUGGUCCGGAAGCUUGUGAGGUCAUGUCUCCCCGAGUCUGUCUCGCAUGAUCUGGGAUGGUCGUCCACCCCUCUUCAUCGUCUUCCUCUACAGGAUGGCGGUUUGUUACCGAGAUUUUUGUCGCCGACAUCUUCUGACUCUCAUAGAUGACUUCUCGGCUGCUGCACCAACAACAUUUCCCUGGCCUUGAGGCUAUUUUCAGAGUUCCAUGGGUGGCAUUGAGCCUGCUUCGCUCAGGGCGCACCGCCAGUGGGUGUAGGAGUAGGAUGACGUUAAUUUAUCCAAGGACCGGUAUGUAAUUUUAUUUUUUUAAGGACGACCUUGUAAGGAUUGACUGAUUUCCUUAAUAAAGAUAUUCAGAUGACAUCUUUAGUAUAUAUGUCAUUUGGCAAAAUUAAAUAAACACGGUGAAGAUAAACGAGUGAGCAAUCUGGUUUCAAGUUUCACGUCCUAUAGACAAAUUCUUAUAGGGAAUGGAAGACAAAGUUUUUUUAGGCUUUUUUUAGACAUAUUUUCUUUUAAAAAAGUUAGGCGAAGACAAAGUUUGUUGCGCUGUACAGAGGUGAAGUUUUUUUUUCCAGAAACUGUACAGAAGUAAAUUCUUUUUUUGAGACAUGCACAAAAGUUUUUUUUUCUGAGAAAAGAGACAUGUGCAGAAGUGAAGUGGAGGGGCCAACAUUUUUGUUUUGAGGGAGGGGCUGACAUUUUUUUCUUGAGACAAGAGGGAGGGGCUGACAUGGCCAUGGAAGAUACUAGUAUAAUGUAAAACACGGCCCAGUAUUUCCCUGCUAAUGCUUUUGCGGCCCAACAUUACCCACCAUCCAUCCACUGCUACAGUAACAUUUCCCCAAUCGGUGGGUUACCGAACCCCCGUCGCCGCCUACGCCGCCGCCGCCGUCGCGUCCGACGAACAAUCGCAUCCUACGCCGCCGCCUCAAGCCAAGGUAUUUCUCUUCACGCGCACGGGAAAACCGUCUGCCACCCCAUCAAUUCGUCCUUCUAACCCAGAUUGAUGAAUCCCUUGUUCCUUUAAGCGUCACCAUGGAGGAGAAGAGCUCUCGGCACAAGAAGGCAAGGGCGACCAACCCUCCGGCGUCGGCGCAGGAGGCAGUUCCGGUGGCGGAGGCGGCCAGCCUCCUGACGGACGACCUCAUCGUGGAGAUCCUCUCCCACCUCCCCGCCAGGUCCGUCCACCGCUUCAAGUGCGUCUCGCCGUCCUGGCGCGCCCUCAUCACGGACCCCGCCAACCGCAAGAAGCUGCCCCAGGCCCUCGCCGGCUUCCUCUACAGCACCUUCCACAGGAGAGACCCCCACUUCCAUGAAUUCCACUUCGCCAACAUCUCCAACAGCCCAUCCCCGCCGGUUGACCCGCUCCUCCCUUUCUUGCCAUCCGACAAGUACCUGUACGUCAACCAGCUGGACACCUGCAAUGGCCUCCUCCUCUGCCGCGUCCACAUGGCCCCUUCUUCUCCUUCCGGGGACGAGAAUACGCCGGUUGAAUCCCAUUACAUCGUGUGCAAUCCGGCCACCGGGAGGUGGGUCGACCUCCCCCCUCACCCUGAGGCGCCUCCUGACAGCUUCGUCUUCGCUCGUUUGGCUUUUGAUCCAGCAGUCUCCUCCCAUUUCCGUGUUCUUCAAUUUGAGAACAGCGAUCUGAAGAAAUACGUCACAGGAGUCAACAUAUACUCUUCGCAAACUGGAGCCUGGAAUCAUAGAGAAAGUCGCUUGUUUGAGAAAAUUACCCUCUUCGCCGGCCUUUCCGGUGUCUUCUUUCACGGUAUGCUACACUUGCUUGGUUGGCUGCACCACCCCCUGUACAUGGACGAAAAUUUUGUGCUGGUAGCAGUGGACGUGGAGGGGCAGGUGUGGAAGACUACCCGUUUGCCUUCACGUGGUUUGGGUUUUGGUAGAAUUGGAUUGUCACAGGGGUGCUUGCACUAUGCUAGCAAAGUCCUACCUACUGUUGACAAUAACAAGAAGAAGAAGAAGAAAAAGGAGGAGGAUACAUCUCUAGCUGCCGAGAUAGCAGCAGUCUGGUGCAUGAAGGAUUAUGAUAGUAAGGAAUGGAUUUUGAAGCAUAGUGUCACCAUUGCUGAGUUAUGGAGCAUAACUUCGGCAGAGUUCGAUGUUGCUGCUAUUCAUCCAGACCGCGGCAGCAUUUUCUUGUAUUCAUAUGAUGAUGAUACAUUGGCAUCAUACGAUAUGCAACAUCGACUUCAUCGUAUCCUUCAUCUCGAGGAAAACAACACAGCAAUAUUUCUACCCUAUGUUCCACUCUUCUCAGACUCAUUUGCAGGUGCAGAUGGGCAGUAGUGUUACCUAGGAGUCAAGUUUGUGUUUCCUUCAAGAAUGGGAUCUUCUUUAGGCUAAACUAUUUGUCUGUUGGAUUUUUGAAUCGACUUAAAUUAUGUCAUUCGAUUUGCUGGUGGUUAUGUGCUCCUUUGAGCUUGAUUUUUCUGUUUGCAGCAAUCCUUGGUAACCUUAGAGAUUAAGCAUAUUGCAGUUUUCAAAGAAGAUUGUUAAGCUAUUGUCCUAGGUACAAAUUAGUUUCAUGUGGCUAAAGUAUUCUAAAAUCUGGUUUUCAUAGCCAUGAUAUGUAAGGAUUAUGUGACCUAAAUCCUAAUAUUACUUAGUGUAAUUUGUGUAUUUAUUGGAAGUCUCAAUCUCAGACUGUUGCAAAGCCUAUUUGAU
RNAcentral lists this long non-coding RNA (4890 nucleotides) under Triticum aestivum (bread wheat). Its description in RNAcentral is "long non-coding RNA (TAES_LNC024555)". The record is from RNAcentral. Lineage: Eukaryota; Viridiplantae; Streptophyta; Magnoliopsida; Poales; Poaceae.